ACAAGAGAAAAGAUACAGAAAAAUUAAAUGAAUCAUAUAACAACCUCAUUAAACAAAAAUAGAAAUAGAUAUAACAUAAAUAGAUCAAUUUAAAAUAGUCAACAUAACACCAACAAUAGUCAUAAAACCGAUAAAAAUAAAAUUACAAUUAUCUACAAUUCGAAAACUAUAUUACCGACAAUAGUAUAAUUAGAAAAUAUCACAACAAUGAUAAACGCGAAAUAGGAAAACUUCAUUACCGGUAAUGAUAAAAUAACCAAUAAUGUCAUAUUUAAAAAAAACAACUAUUAACAGUUACAACAGUAUAAUUUAAAACGUCACAUAACAAUUUAAAAACAAUAGUUAAAAAUUACAUAAAAAAAUUAAUUACUGGACAUAAAAAAUGAAAAAGAAAAAGAAAAAAAUCAUGAUCAUAACAAUAUCACAGACAAUAAGAUUUAAACUUUAUAAAAUUGUUAUAAAUUAAAAUUACAUUUCAUAUACUAUAAAAUUUUCCACAUUCAAUAUUUGAGUCUGAGGAUGCUAGCACGGAGGGGCUAGCGAAAUAUCACAACAAUAAAAUAAUUGAAUUGGA
Long non-coding RNA from Microplitis demolitor, 574 nucleotides. RefSeq lists it as uncharacterized. Lineage: Eukaryota; Metazoa; Arthropoda; Insecta; Hymenoptera; Braconidae. The record is from RefSeq and is a predicted model, not a curated record. The transcript has 3 exons.